RNAcentral lists this ribosomal RNA (252 nucleotides) under uncultured prokaryote. Its description in RNAcentral is "partial 16S ribosomal RNA". It matches the Rfam family "Bacterial small subunit ribosomal RNA", at positions 525 to 775 of the family's 1533-position model. The record is from RNAcentral.
ACGUAGGUCACGAACGUUAUUCGGAAUCACUGGGCUUAAAGGGCUCGUAGGCGGCUCAGCAAGUAGAAGUUGAAAUCCGGCGGCUCACCCGUCGAACUGGUCUCUAAACUGCUGGGCUGGAGUCAUGGAGGGGUGCGUGGAACUUCUGGUGGAGCGGUGAAAUGCGUAGAUAUCAGAAGGAACGCCGGCGGCGAAAGCGACUCUCUGGUCCGAAACUGACGCUGAGUGUGCGAAAGCUAGGGGAGCAAACGG